AAACAGACUGUCAAUGAUGUAUUCAUGCUAUUAACUGGUACACUGUGAUGAAAUCUAGUUUUCGUCACUACCUCUGAGACAGUUUCAUA
Small nucleolar RNA from Patella vulgata (common limpet), 89 nucleotides. RefSeq annotates it as small nucleolar RNA SNORD70. The transcript has a single exon. The record is from RefSeq and is a predicted model, not a curated record. NCBI's taxonomy places the organism in Eukaryota, Metazoa, Mollusca, Gastropoda, Patellidae.